RNAcentral lists this ribosomal RNA (496 nucleotides) under Erwinia sp. C3. Its description in RNAcentral is "bacterial SSU rRNA". It matches the Rfam family "Bacterial small subunit ribosomal RNA", at positions 253 to 741 of the family's 1533-position model. Lineage: Bacteria; Pseudomonadati; Pseudomonadota; Gammaproteobacteria; Enterobacterales; Erwiniaceae. The record is from RNAcentral.
UGGGGUAACGGCUCACCUAGGCGACGAUCCCUAGCUGGUCUGAGAGGAUGACCAGCCACACUGGAACUGAGACACGGUCCAGACUCCUACGGGAGGCAGCAGUGGGGAAUAUUGCACAAUGGGCGCAAGCCUGAUGCAGCCAUGCCGCGUGUAUGAAGAAGGCCUUCGGGUUGUAAAGUACUUUCAGUGGGGAGGAAGGCGAAGAGGUUAAUAACCUUUUCGAUUGACGUUACCCGCAGAAGAAGCACCGGCUAACUCCGUGCCAGCAGCCGCGGUAAUACGGAGGGUGCAAGCGUUAAUCGGAAUUACUGGGCGUAAAGCGCACGCAGGCGGUCUGUCAAGUCGGAUGUGAAAUCCCCGGGCUCAACCUGGGAACUGCAUUCGAAACUGGCAGGCUAGAGUCUUGUAGAGGGGGGUAGAAUUCCAGGUGUAGCGGUGAAAUGCGUAGAGAUCUGGAGGAAUACCGGUGGCGAAGGCGGCCCCCUGGACAAAGACU